This 734-nucleotide ribosomal RNA is filed under the name uncultured Coriobacteriaceae bacterium. RNAcentral's name for it is "bacterial SSU rRNA". It matches the Rfam family "Bacterial small subunit ribosomal RNA", at positions 28 to 776 of the family's 1533-position model. Lineage: Bacteria; Bacillati; Actinomycetota; Coriobacteriia; Coriobacteriales; Coriobacteriaceae. The record is from RNAcentral.
GAUGAACGCUGGCGGCGCGCCUAACACAUGCAAGUCGAACGAUUAAACCGCCCUUGGGCGGAUAUACAGUGGCGAACGGGUGAGUAACGCGUGACCAACCUUCCCCCCGCAUCGGGACAACCCGGGGAAACCCGGGCUAAUACCGGAUAUGCCGGGUAUGGCGCAUGUCAUACCCAGGAAAGCUUUUGCGGCGGGGGAUGGGGUCGCGUCCCAUCAGGUAGACGGCGGGGUAGUAGCCCACCGUGCCAACGACGGGUAGCCGGGUUGAGAGACCGACCGGCCACAUUGGGACUGAGAUACGGCCCAGACUCCUACGGGAGGCAGCAGUGGGGAAUCUUGCGCAAUGGGGGAAACCCUGACGCAGCGACGCCGCGUGCGGGAUGGAGGCCUUCGGGCCGUGAACCGCUUUCAGCAGGGAAGACAUUAAGGACGGUACCUGCAGAAGAAGCCCCGGCUAACUACGUGCCAGCAGCCGCGGUAAUACGUAGGGGGCGAGCGUUAUCCGGAUUCAUUGGGCGUAAAGCGCGCGCAGGCGGCGCACCAGGCGGGAUCUCGAAACCGGGGGCUCAACCUCCGGGCGGAUCCCGAACCGGUGUGCUCGAGUGCGGUAGAGGAAGUCGGAAUUCCCGGUGUAGCGGUGAAAUGCGCAGAUAUCGGGAAGAACACCGAUGGCGAAGGCAGACUUUCUGGGCCGACACUGACGCUCAGGCGCGAAAGCUGGGGGAGCGAACAGG